UGUGGGAGCGGGCUUGCCCGCGAUGAGGUCAUAACAUUCAACAUUGAUGUUGGCUGUUCCACCGCCAUCGCGGGCAAGCCCGCUCCCACA
Molecule: unclassified non-coding RNA, 90 nt
Filed under: Pseudomonas frederiksbergensis
Lineage: Bacteria; Pseudomonadati; Pseudomonadota; Gammaproteobacteria; Pseudomonadales; Pseudomonadaceae
Source: RNAcentral